This 98-nucleotide ribosomal RNA is filed under the name Erinaceus europaeus (western European hedgehog). Lineage: Eukaryota; Metazoa; Chordata; Mammalia; Eulipotyphla; Erinaceidae. The record is from RNAcentral.
GUCUAUGGCCAUACCACCCUAAACGUGCUCAAUCUCAUCUGAUCUCGUAAACUAAACAGAGCUAGAACUGGGAUGAGAGAGAGAGAGAGGCAAAGAGA